Molecule: ribosomal RNA, 253 nt
Filed under: uncultured bacterium
Lineage: Bacteria
Description: partial 16S ribosomal RNA
Rfam family: Bacterial small subunit ribosomal RNA
Source: RNAcentral
UACGGAGGGUGCAAGCGUUAUCCGGAUUUACUGGGUUUAAAGGGUGCGUAGGCGGAUCUUUAAGUCAGUGGUGAAAUCUCUCGGCUCAACCGAGAAACUGCCAUUGAUACUAUUGAUCUUGAAUACAGUUGAGGUGGGCGGAAUGUGUCGUGUAGCGGUGAAAUGCUUAGAUAUGACACAGAACACCGAUUGCGAAGGCAGCUCGCUAAACUGUGAUUGACGCUGAGGCACGAAAGCGUGGGGAUCAAACAGG